This 463-nucleotide ribosomal RNA is filed under the name Catonella morbi. RNAcentral describes it as "bacterial SSU rRNA". It matches the Rfam family "Bacterial small subunit ribosomal RNA", at positions 28 to 490 of the family's 1533-position model. The record is from RNAcentral. Lineage: Bacteria; Bacillati; Bacillota; Clostridia; Lachnospirales; Lachnospiraceae.
GAUGAACGCGGCGGCGUGCCUAACACAUGCAAGUCGAACGGAGAUUACGGACGGAAGUUUUCGGAUGGAAGCCUGUAAUUCUUAGUGGCGGACGGGUGAGUAACGCGUGGGCAACCUGCCCUAUACAGGGGGAUAGCAGCUGGAAACGGCUGGUAAGACCGCAUAAGUCGGUUAAAUCGCAUGAUUUGAUCGGGAAAUGAGCAAUCAGGUAUAGGAUGGGCCCGCGUCCGAUUAGCCAGUUGGCAGGGUAAAAGCCUACCAAAGCAACGAUCGGUAGCCGGACUGAGAGGUCGGACGGCCACAUUGGGACUGAGACACGGCCCAAACUCCUACGGGAGGCAGCAGUGGGGGAUAUUGCACAAUGGAGGAAACUCUGAUGCAGCGACGCCGCGUGAGUGAAGAAGUAUUUCGGUAUGUAAAGCUCUAUCAGCAGGGAAGAUGAUGACGGUACCUGACUAAGAAG